AAUAUAACCUGUAAUAAAGAGUAGGAGUAAUUUUAAUACUUGUGCUUCGAGUACAAACUGUAAUAAAGUGCUUAGAGUACUUUUAACUGUAAUAAAGUGUGAAUGAUAUCAAACCAUCCAGCGAGGAUGAUAUCCAUAAGAGUAUAAAAUACAAUGUGUGGGCAAGUACCACCAAUGGAAAUAAGAAGCUUGAUGUUGCUUAUCAAGAAGCUUAGGCAAAGGGCUCUAGCUGCCCUGUAUUCUUGUUUUUCUCAGUGAAUACAAGUGGACAGUUUGUUGGUGUUGCUGAAAUGACUGGUCCUGUUGAUUUUGAAAAAACUCUAGAGUACUGGCAACAAGACAAGUGGAAUGGUUAAUUCUCUGUCAAGUGGCACAUUGUCAAGGAUGUUCCCAACAACAUUCUCAAGCACAUCAUCCUAGAGAACAACGAGGGCAAACUGGUCACAAACAGCUGUGACACACAGGAUAUCAACCUUGAGCAAGGUAUUCAUAUGCUUAAGAUAUUCAAAGAGCAUGUCAGCAAGACCUCUAUCAGGUUCAAAGUUCCCAGAUAGGCCGUUUCAGCAUGCUUGUAGGAGAUGCUGGUUCUGUAGCAGAUGCCUUGUUUUUUAUGCCGUUUUGAUGCCAGAUAGGCCGACAUUACUCUUUUUUCCUCCAUUCGGUUGCACCUACCAUCUCAAUAUCAUCAUCCACUGCUUGCCUGGACCAACACCCAGCUACCAUCUUAUUUUGGGUUACUUUGCCUGCCUGGCUGCCAUGAUUGGUUGGAUGGUGAUGUUUGUAUCAGGGAGUUUGUUGACAAGAGCUCCACACUGACUACUAUCAGGUUCAAGGAGACUUGUUAUCACAGUCACUGCUCGGAUCCAGUUAGGUAAACAAAAUUUGCUGGGAACUCCAGUGCAUAACAAAAUUUGCUGGGAGUAUUCAGUUUACUGACAAAAUUUGCUACAGUUUAUGAUCUGCUACUCCUAUUAUCUGAAAUGCCACGGUUAUGAUUUGCUAGUCCUUUUGUUCAAAUUACUUACUCCAUCAGUACUCUAUCACUUAAAUCAAAUUAUUAGUUCAAACUUAGUGGUUUCUCUGAAUUAUUCUACCAAAUUCAGUUAUACUCUUGACUACACUUGAAUCAGUACAUCUCUUGAAUCACUUGAGUUUUGUUUAUGCUUGCAGUUUGUUUCCAGCGACAGCAGAGAGAUGUACUCCAGCAGAGGAUCAAAUGAUCAGAGAGAGGAGAUGAACCUGCCCAGCAGCAGCCGAGC
Molecule: long non-coding RNA, 1259 nt
Organism: Triticum aestivum (bread wheat)
Lineage: Eukaryota; Viridiplantae; Streptophyta; Magnoliopsida; Poales; Poaceae
Exons: 3
Source: RefSeq, a predicted model, not a curated record